RNAcentral lists this ribosomal RNA (468 nucleotides) under uncultured bacterium. RNAcentral's name for it is "partial 16S ribosomal RNA". It matches the Rfam family "Bacterial small subunit ribosomal RNA", at positions 28 to 507 of the family's 1533-position model. The record is from RNAcentral.
GACGAACGCUGGCGGCGUGCUUAACACAUGCAAGUCGAACGGAAAGGCCCUGCUUUUGUGGGGUGCUCGAGUGGCGAACGGGUGAGUAACACGUGAGUAACCUGCCCUUGACUUUGGGAUAACUUCAGGAAACUGGGGCUAAUACCGGAUAGGAGCUCCUGCUGCAUGGUGGGGGUUGGAAAGUUUCGGCGGUUGGGGAUGGACUCGCGGCUUAUCAGCUUGUUGGUGGGGUAGUGGCUUACCAAGGCUUUGACGGGUAGCCGGCCUGAGAGGGUGACCGGCCCCAUUGGGACUGAGAUACGGCCCAGACUCCUACGGGAGGCAAGAGUGGGGAAUAUUGCACAAUGGGCGGAAGCCUGAUGCAGCAACGCCGCGUGCGGGAUGACGGCCUUCGGGUUGUAAACCGCUUUCGCCUGUGACGAAGCGUGAGUGACGGUAAUGGGUAAAGAAGCACCGGCUAACUACGUG